AAGUCGUAACAAGGUAUCCGUAGGUGAACCUGCGGAUGGAUCAUUAUCACGUUAUCCACGUAUCAACCAUUGUGAACUGUUGUGUAUAUUGUUGUUGUUGGAUUGUUUUAUUACAAUUCAACUUUAAUAAUAUAUAUUUUAUUAUUAACUAUUUAAACAAUUUUUAAAUAAUUAAUUUUUUGAACUGAAACAUUUCUUACUCUUCGGAGAAGAAAUAAAAAAUUACGAAACAUAAGAACAACUCUUAGCAACGGAUAUCUUGGUUCUC
This 268-nucleotide unclassified non-coding RNA is filed under the name fungal sp. RNAcentral's name for it is "partial internal transcribed spacer region". The stretch from base 1 to 46 matches the Rfam family "Eukaryotic small subunit ribosomal RNA", at positions 1786 to 1831 of the family's 1831-position model. The record is from RNAcentral. Lineage: Eukaryota; Fungi.